Molecule: unclassified non-coding RNA, 280 nt
Filed under: Hevea brasiliensis (rubber tree)
Lineage: Eukaryota; Viridiplantae; Streptophyta; Magnoliopsida; Malpighiales; Euphorbiaceae
Source: RNAcentral
AGCAAGAAUAGCACCAAUUUUACCUACAAAGGAGAAUAGGAUUAAAAGUACUGCUCCAAGCUGUACAGCCCUUCGGUUUGCUACUUUCGUUGCAUUGAUCGUGUGUACAUUCUCUGUCAAAGUUGUUGCCCCAGUACCCGUUCCCCAAAGUCCAGCCAAUACACUACAGAAACCUUCCAGACCAAUCCCCCUGCUGACUAUACCUGGGGUUGGGGGUUUCAAAUUGAUUCGUAUUGCGGCGGAGUGAUAACUUCCAAUCGAGUCAAUGGAAGCAACCAGU